This 492-nucleotide ribosomal RNA is filed under the name uncultured bacterium. RNAcentral describes it as "partial 16S ribosomal RNA". It matches the Rfam family "Bacterial small subunit ribosomal RNA", at positions 29 to 507 of the family's 1533-position model. The record is from RNAcentral.
AGUGAACGCUGGCGGUAGGCCUAACACAUGCAAGUCGAACGGCAGCACAGUAAGAGCUUGCUCUUACGGGUGGCGAGUGGCGGACGGGUGAGGAAUACAUCGGAAUCUACUUUUUCGUGGGGGAUAACGUAGGGAAACUUACGCUAAUACCGCAUACGACCUACGGGUGAAAGCAGGGGAUCUUCGGACCUUGCGCGAUUGAAUGAGCUGAUGUCGGGUUAGCUAGUUGGCGGGGUAAAGGCCCACCAAGGCGACGAUCCGUAGCUGGUCUGAGAGGAUGAUCAGCCACACUGGAACUGAGACACGGUCCAGACUCCUACGGGAGGCAGCAGUGGGGAAUAUUGGACAAUGGGCGCAAGCCUGAUCCAGCCAUACCGCGUGGGUGAAGAAGGCCUUCGGGUUGUAAAGCCCUUUUGUUGGGAAAGAAAAGCAGCAGGUUAAUACCCCGCUGUUCUGACGGUACCCAAAGAAUAAGCACCGGCUAACUUCGUG